AGGAAGGUGGGGAUGACGUCAAGUCAUCAUGGCCCUUACGGCCUGGGCUACACACGUGCUACAAUGGUCGGUACAAAGGGUUGCCAAGCCGCGAGGUGGAGCUAAUCCCAAUAAAACCGAUCGUAGUCCGGAUCGCAGUCUGCAACUCGACUGCGUGAAGUCGGAAUCGCUAGUAAUCGUGAAUCAGAAUGUCACGGUGAAUACGUUCCCGGGCCUU
This 217-nucleotide ribosomal RNA is filed under the name uncultured Pseudomonas sp. Its description in RNAcentral is "partial 16S ribosomal RNA". It matches the Rfam family "Bacterial small subunit ribosomal RNA", at positions 1167 to 1382 of the family's 1533-position model. The record is from RNAcentral. Lineage: Bacteria; Pseudomonadati; Pseudomonadota; Gammaproteobacteria; Pseudomonadales; Pseudomonadaceae.